CUCACUGAAGCAUUUAAAACGCACACUCCAGGACUCAAAGCUCGCAGCCGCGCACACUAUAAAAGCCCAAAGCUAUUGUCCGAAACCCUAAUUUUCUCUCGCGAACACUGUUUUUAUAUAGAAAGUCGGUGCUUUUUUUCCUUUUUUUUUUGUUGGGAAUAAAAUUGAUAAAUAAAUUUUCGGAUUGAGUUUGGAGGAGGCGAUAAUGGAGGGCUCGAGAGGAGAAGAAGCGCAGAAACAGCAGGAGUUUGCUUUGGCUUCCAUUUCUGAGCUUGCGUCGUCGUCUUCUUCUUCUUCUUUGACGCCUGCGGUUGCUCGGUUUAGCGCCGAAGACGGAGUUGUAGAGCUUCGAUUUCAGCAGGAGGCUGAGUCCGAUGCUCGCGUCAAUGUCGAUCUUCAAACUGCUCAGACAUGAGGAUAUGCUUGGAGAGGCAAGAGCGAGAAACUAAUGAAAAAAGGCGUAGAUGAGCUGAAGAAAAAGAGUGCAGAGAGAACAAGAUCCACAAGUUGCCAUAGCAGUGGCUUUGCUUGAUCAAGAAAGCCAAGGCUGUCGCCAUGGUUCACAAGCCGGUCGUGGCCCGAAUGUGGACAAACAUAGGCAUUCUCGGGUGUGAUGCUGUUGGGCUUUCGGGACUUCUUCCGGAGCAAAAGCUUACAGCUGUUAUACGAAUGUUGGCCUAUGGUUCAUCUGCUGAUUAGGUGGAUGAGAUUGCUCGGAUUGGAAAGUCCACUACUUUGGAGAGUUGGUAUGAUUUUGCGAUGCAGUCGAAACUCUGUACACCAGGGACUACCUGCGCAAACUUACGCCUAGGGACCUCUAACGGCUUCUACAAAAAGCCGAAGCUCGAGGAUUUCCGGGAAUGAUUGGUAGCAUCGAUUGUAUGCACUAGCAAUGGAAGAAUUGCCCAACUGCUUGGCCAGGAGAUAUGGAAAUAGAAAAGGGCAAAAAAGUAUCAUCUUUGAAGCCGUUGCUGGAUUCGGGUUUGGCAUGCCUUCUUCGAAGUUGCCGGAUCUCAGAACGACUUGAAUGUGCUGGGUCAAUCCCCGGUUUUCAGUGAUGUCUUGAGAGGUGAAGCCUCGAAUAUCAGCUAUGAUAUCAACAAUACCGUCUACUUGAAUGAGUAUUAUCUAGCAGACGACACCUAUCCGAAGUGGACCACAUUUGUCAAAUCAAUUCCGAAUCCCCGAUCUCAGAAGCAAAAAUUAUUUGCUGCAUAUCAAAAAGGAUAUAGGAAAGAUGUCGAAAGGUGUUUUGGCAUCCUCCAAGCUCGGUGGGCAAUUAUUAGAGGUGCUAAAUAUAUGUUUGAUGAGGAGGUGCUGAUGAGCAUUAUGAUGACUUGCAUCAUCCUCCAUAACAAGAAUUUAUGAAAGGCCCAUGGGGCCAAAUGGGCAACCAUUGGAGCAUGAACCGUUGGCUAGGGACGGUCGUUUCAUGACCCGUAUGUUUUUUUAUU
Molecule: non-coding RNA, 1454 nt
Organism: Prunus avium (sweet cherry)
Lineage: Eukaryota; Viridiplantae; Streptophyta; Magnoliopsida; Rosales; Rosaceae
Source: RefSeq, a predicted model, not a curated record